This 82-nucleotide transfer RNA is filed under the name Chloroflexota bacterium. RNAcentral describes it as "Chloroflexi bacterium tRNA-Leu". It matches the Rfam family "tRNA". From Rfam's summary of the family: Transfer RNA (tRNA) molecules are approximately 80 nucleotides in length. Their secondary structure includes four short double-helical elements and three loops (D, anti-codon, and T loops). Further hydrogen bonds mediate the characteristic L-shaped molecular structure. tRNAs have two regions of fundamental functional importance: the anti-codon, which is responsible for specific mRNA codon recognition, and the 3' end, to which the tRNAs corresponding amino acid is attached (by aminoacyl-tRNA synthetases). tRNAs cope with the degeneracy of the genetic code in two manners: having more than one tRNA (with a specific anti-codon) for a particular amino acid; and 'wobble' base-pairing, i.e. permitting non-standard base-pairing at the 3rd anti-codon position. Lineage: Bacteria; Bacillati; Chloroflexota. The record is from RNAcentral.
GGGCGAGUGUCGGAACUGGCAGACGAGCCAGACUUAGGAUCUGGUGCCGCAAGGCGUGAGGGUUCGAGUCCCUCCUCGCCCA